AUUUAAAUAGUUUAAUAAAAAUAUUGAUUUGUGGAAUCAAAGUUAUAUUUUAGUAUUUUAAAUA
Molecule: transfer RNA, 64 nt
Filed under: Rhagonycha nigroimpressa
Lineage: Eukaryota; Metazoa; Arthropoda; Insecta; Coleoptera; Cantharidae
Description: tRNA-His
Source: RNAcentral